This 16332-nucleotide long non-coding RNA is filed under the name Nicotiana tabacum (common tobacco). RNAcentral describes it as "long non-coding RNA (NTAB_LNC007463)". The record is from RNAcentral. Lineage: Eukaryota; Viridiplantae; Streptophyta; Magnoliopsida; Solanales; Solanaceae.
CCUAAAUUAAACAUUUAUAUGCUAAACUAUAAAAAUCUUAGGGAGGGUCAAAAAUCACAUGUCUACAGUAUGCUUAACCAGGAAAGUUCUAGCCAAACCAAUAUCAUGAUAAGUUAAAGUCUAGAUACAAAACUAGCAUGAAACCUAUUAUCAACAGAAUGAGUGAAUACAAGAACAAAUUAUAGAAUCAACUACUGAAAUGCAUAAAACAAAGGUAGAUUCCAAAUUACAUCAACUGAUAUUAAUGCUAGGUCUCCACAUUCAAUUAACAUGCUUCAAGUUGAACUUCACAUUUGAUAGGAUCCAACAGAUACCUGGGACAGAGUUUAGAGCAAAAGAAAAAUGAGGAAAUCAACAGCAACAGGAGACUGUAAACCAACAAUUCAGCACAUGUAACCUCAGUUUCCUUAGACCAUUUGUAACCCAGGUAACAGAAAUUCUUUGAAAGUUUGGAAAAUUCAAACUAACUAUGAAUAAUCAAGAGCAGAACCAAAGCAAGCCUAACCAAAAUGCAGGGAAUUUUCAGUAUUUUUUAGAGUGUCAAAGGCUCAGUCGUUUCUCAAUUUUUAGUAUUGUAAUCCCUGCCUCUAAAUGAAAGGAAAUGAACCUUAAAUAACCAGCUCCUAGGGCAACAAAACUGAUUUUAGCCUUACCCCUUCCCCCAAUUUCCUUUUUCAUCUUAGACCUCAAGUUUUAGCCUAUUUACUAAACCAACCCAAUCCCCACCUUCCUGGAAAUUUCCUAGGUAGUUUUAAAGAUUCCCUCAACUUAAAAUGACCAAAUCAACCCUUGACACCCCUGUAUUUACUUUCAAAUUACUAACCUGGGUCAAGUUAACCCAAGACCCCAAAUGAACAGGUCUCUUAACUGGGUCAGUGAUGACCACAGUUAAUACAAGAACCCAAAACAUCACAAAUAAUUGAACAAAGAAGAUCAUAUUCAGAAAAAGAAAAUAAGUAAUAAUUCAAAACUUUACGAUUAAACCUAAUUUUAACUAAGAAAUUAAAACGAAUUCCAUUAUUAAAGAAGACGGGACAAAACAAUGAAGCAAAUAAAAAUAAAAUAAAAAAAACAGAAAAUAUUACAAUGAACAAAAUCAUGAAAAAUAAGAGGGGAAAGUACCAAAUCCUGCCGGAAUGUCCCGACAAUAUGAAAUGAAUCGACGAACGAUGACGGGAGUAGACAUUUCGCCGGAAUCUGAUGAGUUCAUCAAAAUCCAGCAUCCUCGGAAUGAAAUAAAACCAAUGCUAAUCGAUUGUUCUCGUUAAGAGCAAUCUACUAACGUAGAUUAUAGGUCAAAGCGAGCCGGAGAUCUACUCGAAUUUACAAAACUAGAAUAAAUUAUGGUUUGAAUCUCUAGAUCCAGAAUUGGGGGAAUUUCGUUGGGGUUUUUGGGAAAUAAAUGUGAGGAUAGGAUUUAGGAGGUCCUGGGGGUUGCGUGGUAUGAAUUUGGGGUGAUUUGAAGUUGUGCCGCCACCGGAGAUGGUGAGGCGUUCUAAGGCGACGCUAGGGUUUUUUAGUCUUUGAGUAUGAGAGAGGGGAGACGAGGAAGAUUGAAUUGGGGUGGGGGGGUGGGGGGUGGGGUAGGGAUCGUUGAGACACUAAUAUACUUAAUGGACCUUAGUUCCCAACCAUUAGAUCCAUGGAGAUCAACGGCUGAGAUUCUAAGAGGAAAAACGGUGUCGUUUCUGAUGGGGGAGGGAAAGCGGACCGGGUCAAGGGAUUGGCCUAGGAAGAUGGAAAGAUUGGGGUAUAUUUUAGGCGGAUUCUCAAGUAAACUGACCCAAUUUCAAAUUCUCAAUUUCUUUUUUUUUAUUUUCCUUUUAUUAUUAUUUUUCUUUUCCUUUUCAAUUAAUUAAAACCUAAAUUAAACUCUUCAACUAAACUAACUUACACAAUUAAACUAAUAAUCCACCAUAAUAAUUAUAAAAAUUAAUUACUCCUAAAUUAAAAAAAAUUACUAAUUAAAAAUUAAAAGGCUAAAAAUGCAAAAGUGAUUCAUUUUUUGUGAUUUUUCAUUUCUAUAAAAUAACUAAUUUACCAAUUAAGCUAAAAAAGUAAAAAUAAACCCCAAAUUCCAUGCAAAGUAUUUUUUGUAUUUUUUCAUGAUUUAAAUAAAAUAAACAUGCACAGACAAAUGCAAACAAUUAACAAAAAAUCAUAUGAAAAAUAUACAAAAUUGCAAAUAAUGGGAAAACAUUAUUUCUUAGAGUUUAUGGGAGUAAUUCAUAUAGGGAAAAAAUCACAUGCUCACAAGCCACGGUAUGUUCCUCUUUCUUUUGGAGUGCAUACGAUGUUGUUGUGAGACUGUUUUUACAUGAUCAUUUCUCCUUCGAGUUACCAUGUUUAGGUUGAAGCCUUCUUCCUUAUUUCCUCAACUAGUCUUUUAUUGUAGUACAUACGGAGGACUCUCUGACUCUUGUAAAACUGCGAGCUUAUUUGUAACGACCCGACCGAUCGUUUUAAGAAUUAAUUCCUCGAUCCCCUAUUAACUGCUUUCGCCGUGUUUGUUUCUGCUAUUUUGAUUGGUCGAGAUAUUUGGUUUUGAGUUUCGGAGUAUUUUGGGACACUUAGCCCCUAAAAAAGAGCUUAAACUUUAGAAUUUGGACCAUAGCCGGAGCAGUAUGAAGACGUCUUCUGAAUAGAAUUCUGUCAAUUCCGUUAGCUCCGUUGGGUGAUUUCGGGCUUAGGGGCAUGUUCAGAUUGUGUUUUGGAUGUUCGUAGCUUAUUUUGGCUUGAAAUGUCGAAAUUUGAAAUUUUGGAGUUUCCAGUUCGAUAGUGAGAUUUUGAUAUCGGGGUCGGAAUGAGAUUCCAAAAGUUGGAAUAGCUCUGUAGUGUUGAAUGUGGCUUGCUUGCAAAAUUUUAGGUUAUUCGGACGAGGUUUAAUAGACUUUUUGAUCGAAAGCAUAAUUUAAGAAUUUUUGGAGUUCUUAGGCUUGAAUUCGAUGUUAAAUUGGUAUUUUAAUGUUAUUUUGAGUGUUUAGAAGGUUGGAAAAAGUUUUAAUGAUGUUUUAGGAUUGGUUGGCAUGUUUAAUUGAGGUCUCGGGGGCCUCGGGUGUGUUUCAGAUGCUUAACGGGCCAUUUUUGGACUUAGAAAUUGCAGAAAAAUUAUAGCAGGUCAGUUCUGGUUUCCUUCUUCGCAUUUGUGAGUGGGGUCUCGCAUUCGCAAAGAGGAGUUGGGGGUGGUGGAGGUUUAAUGCUUCACGUUCGCGAAGGUGUUCCCGCGUUCGCGAGGCUGUGAGGUCUUAUACCUACGCGUUCGCGAAGAUGGUCCCACGUUCGCGUAAGAGGGGGGGAGAUGGUUACCACGUUCGCGACAGAGAUAUUGCGUUCGCGAUGAAGGAAGACUAUACCAAGCGAAAUUGUGCUUCGCGAAUGCGAGGGUCCUUCCGUGUUUGCGAAGAAGGAAUUAUCUGGGCAAAAUAUAAAAUUUCAAAGUCGAGGGUUUGGCCAUUUUUAUCAAAACUAGAGCUUGGGAGCUCAGAUUUGAGCGAGAGUUUGAGGGAUUUUCAGAGAUAUCGAUUGGGUAAUGAUUCUUAACUCCUUUUUGCUUAUAACCCAUUAAUCUAAACAUGAAUUCAUCAUAUAAUUUCGGAUUUGGGGAAAAAUUUGGAAAAGUUCUAAGACCUAAUUUUCGAGUUUUGAUUAGGAAUUUGAUAUUGUAUUUGGAUAAUUUUGGUAUAGUUAGACUCGUGAGUGAAUGAGGGUUCAUAAUCCGUAAAUUUUACCCGAUUCUGAGACAUGGGUCCGGGGGCAUUUUUGUCAUUUUACCUAAUUUCACGUAUUAGCUUAGAAUAUAUUUGUGGAAUCAGUUACUUGAAGUUAUAUUUACAUUAUGCAAUUUAAUGGAAUAGAUUUGGACCAUUUGGAGUCGAGUACUCAUUGCAAGAACGUGGUUUCGGGUUGAUUUUGAGCCGAUUCGAGGUAAGUGGCUUGCCUAACCUUGUGUGGGGGAACUACCCUUAGAAUUUGGUAUUGUUGAUAUUUGAAAUGUCAUGUACGUGAGGUGACGAGUGCGUACUCGUGCUAAUUAUUGAAAAUCCUAUUUUCAUUAAGUAACUCUAAUUGUGUUUCCUUUCCUGCUUAUAUUACUUGCAAUUUAAGCCUGCUGUUAGCAUAGGGAAGCAUGUCUAAUUGACUUAAUUGCUUUAUUUGCUCAAACUGCCUUAAUUGGAUCAUGUGUAGCAUGCUAGGUUAGAAAUACCUGUUUUACCUUGGUAUGAAAUUUGAACUGAAUUGAGUAUUCUCCGUAUUGCUGUUGUGUGUUUACUUUGGGACAACGGGACGGUAUCACGGGAGAUCCCCCUGCUUGUUUACUUUGGGACUACGGAUUUGUAUUUCGGGAGGUCCCUUUCACCUAUAUUGAUUUGAAUUGUAGUGCGGAAUACCGAGAGAUCCCCAGAAUAUAUAUAUUGAGGAUACUAAGAGAUCCUCAGGAUACUGAGAGAUCCCCAGCACACAUAUUGAGGAUACUAAGAGAUCAUCGGGAUACUGAGAGAUCCCCAGUUGUUAUAUCUGUGUUGAGCGGCAUUGUUUUUGUGAUUAUUUUGUUUCUGUUAUAGUUGUUGUUAUUCUUAUUUAUCCUGUGUUACUUCUUACUAUUAGCAUUUAAUUAUAUUAUCGUAUUCUAUAAUGUUUUACCUCGUUUUUCAGCUAUAAUCAGUAGGGCCCUGAUCUUCCUCAUCACUACUCGACUAAUGUUAGGCUUGGCACUUACUGAGUACCGCUGUGGUGUACUCCUGCCCUUUCUGCGCAUGUUUUUCAUGUGCAGAUCCAGGUACUUCGACUCAGUCCCAUUGCUCUUGAGGCGAGGCGAUUCUCCAUAGACUUCGAGGUAUAUCUGUCGCGUCCGCAGACCGAGGAGUCUCUUUCCAUUCUCUCUCAUAGUAUUAGCCCUUCUGUAUUUACUUUUGUUUAGACAUUUAGAAACUUGUAGUUAUUCAACAGCUUGUGAUUUCAUGAGAUUCCGGGUUGUGGGAAGUUGUUCAGUUUUUGAGAUCUUGUAUUAGUAUAUGACGAGCGACAUCUUAAAUGUUUCUAUAUUUGCUUAUCUUCAGUUUUUAUUAGUUUUUCCACAAUUGUUAGGCUUACCUAGUCGUAGAGACUAGGUGCCGUCACGACAGUUCAGGAAGGGUGAACUUGGGUCGUGACAAGUUGGUAUCAGAGCUCUAGGUUCAUAGGAGUCAUGAAUCACAAGCCGGUUUAUUAGAGUCUCGCGGAUCAGUACGGAGGCAUCUGUACUUUUCUACGAGAGGCUAUGUAACUGUUAGAAAAAUUCCACUUCAUUUGAUUUCCUUGUCGUGCGAGAUUUUUGAUGUCACAAUUCUAAACUUCUGCCUUCUAUUCUCUUAUAAAUGGUGAGGACACGUGCUACUAGAGAUGAUCAGGCACCCGCGCCCCCUACUAGAGCUAUCAGAGGUUGGGGCAGGGGUAGUGGCCGAGGAUGCGCACGUGGUGCAGCCAGAGCACCCGCGUGAGCUGCCACCGAGGCGCCACUAGCAGUUCCAGCCGGAGUCCAGGCACCUAAUACGCCUACUGCUACUACUACUCCAGCUCUCCAGGAGACUCUUAUGCAGUUCAUGAGCAUGUACACCACUCUAGCUUAGGCAUGGUUGCUUCCCCUUGCUGCAGCUACAUCUUAGGCGGGGGGAGGAGCACAGACUCCCGCUGCCCGCACUCCUGAGCAGCGAGUGCAUGCUGAUCAGGUCCCAGAGAUUAUUUAUGUACAGCGUGCAGUCCCAGAUCAGCCCGAGGACUGGGCAGCGACUUUCGAGGAUGAGCAGCUGAGGAUUGAGAGCUUCAAGAAGUACAAGCCUCCAAUAUUCAGUGGUCUAGCAUCAGAUGAUUCUAUGGUAUUUCUAGAUGAGUGCUAUCGUAUCCUCCGUACCAUGGGUAUAUCAGGAUCGAGUGGGAUUUCCUUCACUAUCUUCUAGCUUCGAGGAGCCGCCUAUGAGUGCUGGCGUACCUAUGAGUUAGACAGUCCGGAUGAGGUAGCUUCCCUAACUUGGACUCAAUUUUUAGAUAAGUUCCUGAGAGAGUAUGUUCCUCAGAGCCUUAGGGACACAUGGCGCACAGAGUUUGAGCAUUUGCACCAGGGUGAUAUGAUUGUCUCGGAGUAUGCCGUCCGUUACACUAGCUUGGCUAGACAUGCCCCAGCCUUGGUUUCCACUAUUCGCGAGAGGGUUCGCCGAUUUAUUAAAGGGAUUAUACCCAGCAUCAAGUCUAGCAUGGAUCGUGAGUUGGCGAUGGAUAUUUCUUAUCAGCAGAUGGUGAGCAUUGCUAGGAGGAUAAAAGGUAUGUAUGCUAGGGACAGAGAGAAGAGGGAGGCCAAGAGGUCUCGAGAGUCGGGCCAUUAUUCUGGUGCCCGUGCUCCAGCUGUAGUUCGUCAUGGUAGGGGUUAUAUGAGUCGCCCCGUUCAUUCAGCUCUUCCAGCAGCUAGUGGUAUUCCAGCUCCUCCUAGGCCUCAAGAGCCAUUAUGCACCUCCAAUAUCUAGUGCGCCUCCUGUGCAGGGUGCUUUCAGAGGUCAGUCCAACAGACCUGGCCCAAGCCAGUCAUAACCGCCACUUCUUCCCAAGGUUUGUUUUGAGUGUGGUGACACACGCCAUGUGGUGAGGGAUUGCCCUAGACUUGGGAGGAGUGAACUUCCACAGACUUCUCAGCCACAGCAUGCCCCGCAGAGUUCUCAAGCUACAGUUACAGCUCUAGUUGCUACCCCACAUGCUCAUCUAGCUAGAGGUGGAGGUCGGGGAGGUAGAGGUCGCCCUAGAGGGGGAGGCCAGGCCAGAUAUUAUGCCCUUUCUUCCUAUACCAAGGCUGUCGCCUCUGACUCUAUCAUCACAGGUACUAUCUUGGUUUGUCAUAGGGAUGCAUCUAUUUUAUUCAAUCCAGGCUCCGCUUAUUCUUAUGUGUCUUCUUAUUUUGCUCCACAUUUGCGUGUAUCUCGGGAUUCUUUGAGUUCCCCUAUUUAUGUUUCUACUCCUCUGGGAGAUUCUCCUGUUAUGGACCGUGUUUAUCGGUCAUGUGUGAUUGUUCUUAGUGGUUUUGAGACCAGAGCUAAUUUAUUAUUUCUCAGCAUGGUAGUUUUUGAUGUCAUCUUGGGCAUGGACUGGUUGUCGCCCCAUUAUGUUAUUCUUGAUUGUCAUGCCAAAACUGUGACGCUGGCUAUGCUAGGUGUAUCGCAAGUAGAGUGGAGGGGUACGUUCAUACUCCUAGUAGAGUUAUUUCAUUCCUUAAGGCUCAGUGUAUGGUUGAGAAGGCGNNNNNNNNNNNNNNNNNNUUUUUUNGAUGUGUUUCCAGCUAAUCUUUUGGGCAUGCCGCCCGAUAGAGAUAUUGAUUUUUGCAUUGAUCUGUUGACGGACACUCAGCCUAUUUUUAUUUCUCCGUAUCGUAUGGCCCCUCCUGAGUUAAAGGAGUUGAAGGAUCAGUUACAGGAAUUGCUUGAUAAGGGUUUUAUUUAGCCCAGUGUAUCACCUUGGGGUGCUCAUGUCUUGUUUGUGAAGAAAAAAGAUGGUUCUAUGCGUAUGUACAUUGAUUAUCGCCAGUUGAACAAAGUUACAGUGAAGAACCGUUAUCCUUUUCCUCGUAUUGAUGAUUUGUUUGACCAGCUACAAGGUGCACGAGUGUUUUCUAAGAUUGACUUGAGUUUAGGUUACCAUCGGUUGAAGAUUCGGGAGCUAGAUAUCCUGAAGACUGCUUUCAGGACUCAGUAUGGUCAUUACGAGUUCCUUGUUAUGUCAUUUGGGCUGACCAAUGUCCCAACAGGCUUUAUGCAUUUAAUGCAUAGUGUGUUCCGGACAUAUCUUGACUCGUUUGUUAUUGUCUUUAUUGAUGAUAUUCAGGUAUACUCCCAGAGUCAAGAAGAUCAUGAGCAGCACCUGAGGACAGUACUUCAGACUUUGAGGGAAAAGAAGUUAUAUGCAAAGUUCUCGAAAUAUGAGUUUUGGUUGAUUUCCGUGGCAUUUUUAGGCCACGCGGUAUUGAGUAAGAGUAUUCAGGUGGAUCCGAAGAAAGUGGAGGCAGUGCAGAGUUGGUCCAAAUCGCCCUCAGCUAUAGAGAUUUGUAGUUUUCUUGGCUUGAUGGGUUAUUACCGUCGAUUUGUUGAGGGGUUUUCAUCUAUUACAGCCUCUAUGACCAAGCUGACCCAGAAGGGUGCUCUGUUCUAGUGGACGAAAGAGUGUGAGGUGAGUUUUCAGAAGCUCAAGACAGUUUUAACUACAACCCCAAUUUUGAUAUUGCCUAUAGGUUUGGGGUCUUAUACUGUCUAUUGUGAUGCCUCGAGGAUUGGCCUUGGAGCGGUAUUGAUGCAAGACAGUAGGGUGAUUGCCUACGUGUCCAGACAGUUGAAGGUACAUGAGAAGAAUUAUCAUGUCCAUGAUCUCGAGUUAGAUGCUAUUGUUCACGCCUUGAAGAUCUGGCAUCAUUAUUUGUACGGUGUGCCUUGUGAGAUUUAUACUGGUCACCGGAGUUUGCAGCAUCUGUUCAAGCAUAAAGAUCUUAAUUUGCGUCAGAUGAGGUGGUUAGAGCUGCUGAAGGACUAUGAUAUCACUAUCUUGUAUCACCCGGGCAAGGCCAAUGUGGUGGCCAAUGAUUUGAGUCGCCGAGCAGAGAGUUUGGAGGGUUUGGCUUAUUUACCAGCAGCGUAGAGGCCCAUGGUGAUGGAUGUUCAGGCCUUAGCCAGCCAGUUUGUGAGAUUAAAUCUUUCGGAGCCCAGUCGGGUUCUGGCUUGCGUGGUUUCUCGGUCUUCCUUAUUUGAUCGUAUCCGGGAGUGUCAGUUUGAUGACCCUCAUUUUCUUGUCCUCAAGGACAAGGUUGUUACACCCCAUAUUUUCGUACAUGAAAAUAUGCUAUAAAUAAAUUAAUGAGAGCCCGGAAGUGAGAUGUCGCGUCCCGCAGUACUACAUUACGACGAUGUUGCACCCUGUAGUGUUGUACGUUUGAAUUUGUCAUAAGGUAAUUGACAUUAGUCCAAGGACAAUAUUAUAAGGAUUAUGCUAUUUCAAACAAGUAAUAAGUAAAUUCAUAAAGGUGAGAGGGGGAAACAAGUAAAAAAAUGAAUUUUCGACCAAGUUUGGCAUGUUGGGAUAAAAUACGGCUCGAGCUAAAAUACUCGAUAUUUAUGGACUAGUACCACAAGGUACCACAUGACCAUAAUAGUAAGGUGUAUAAGGUAUGUGAAAAGUGAGUAAUAUUUUAAGUAAGUGGGAAUAAUUCUCAAUUUUGCGGAUAAUUAAUUAAUUACCGGGUGACGGGACAUUACCUAAUUAAUUAGGGACAUAUUUGGAUAAGAUUAAUCCCAAAAAAUAUGGUAGCCAUUAAGCUAACCAAAUAUAUGACUAAGAGUCAUAUUAACUUGGUCGAGGCUUGUGAACUCAUUUUAUCAAAGGUGUAACACCUUGUGUGAUCAAAAGAUUCCACGUAUUCAUAUUAUUUCUUUAAGACAAAGUAAAAUUAGUUCUUUUACUCUACUACUACUAGAAUAUUAGUAUAACUCAUCUAAUUGAAAGGGGGGAUGAUUUUGAGAAUAUCUUGACCUGCAAAGAAAGCAAUGUAAUUUCAUACAAAAUUAUAAUGCAUAAUAGCAACGGGAUUUUGCGAUUCUAAGGGAGUACGGUGCAAUAUUUCUCAAGAAUAUCAUACGGAUUUUCUUCUACUUUGAUCAGCCGUUACGUGUUGUCGUUGUUGAUACCCAAUUUUUUCCGUAUAUUUUAAUAUAUAAAAUAAUUGUAAAAUAGCAUGUAUAUGCAUAUAUAAGUAUGUCCCAAGGUUUCAAUAUUUUUCCCAAUUUUUAAAGGUUUUUAAAUCAAUUUAUUGCCUAUUUCAUCAAGAAAAAACCAUUAAUUAUCCCCAAAAUUAUUAUUUUGGUGAUUCAUUUAGUGGAUUCUCAUAUUUAUACUAAAAUAUAUCUAACACAAUUUUGCAUAUUUUUACAAAUUUAUUUAGCAUUUUUAGGCUAAAUUGCAUAUAAUUGUAAUAUUAGCCUCUUCUAAGAUUUAAUUGUAAUUAUAUUUAUUAAAUUGGCUCCAGUAUUUUUUAUUUGAUAAUUAUGUAUUAUUAAUCAUCUUAGUGCCUUUAAUUUAUUUUCAGAAAUUAUUUUACCAUUUUUAUAAAAUCAAAUAAGGGAAAAGUGGUCAUUUAAAUGCUAGCCCCGUUUAUUUCAAUUAUAGCCCUAAACAGCCCUCAAUUAAACCCAAUCUCAAGCCCAAUUACCCUGACCCAAACCCCGUUCAAAAUGACCCAGACCCGUUUCCCACCUACCCUCUCUAAUCUCAACCGUUGAUCUCCCAGAUCAACGGUCCCCAUUUCCCUUUCCUUUUUUAAUUUCCCAUUACCCCCUAACCCUAAUCAAUUCUCGUCUGAAGCCGCCCUUGAAUUCCCCAUCUCCCAAUUCUCUCUCAAUCUCUUUCAGAAACCCUAGCCGCCACCUUCAAUCACCACCUAAAAUCGACCACAUCCAGGGCUUCCAAAGCCAUUGAUGGCCUGUAUCUACCUCCUACAACUCCUGCAUGCUCGAUUAUCAUGACCUCAAGGUCAGACCUUGAAGAAAUUUGGUCCAGACCUCGGAUGUUUUCAGUGCUAUGGCUGUCUCCGGCCACCCUCGACCUUGCUCCGGCCGGCUAUGGCUAUUCAAUCCUGAUCUCGACCUCUCCUGCUUAGAUCGAUGAUUUCCAAGCCUUUCUCACCCUUUAGGUUUCUUCUGAAACCCUAACCUUCAAGGUUCUUCUGAUUCUUUUAGAUCCAUUGUCGAUCUGUGUUCUCUCCAAACCUUUUGAAAGUUUUCUUAAAGUUUCUUUCAAAACCUUACCCUCAAAACCUUUAUCUUUUCCGAUUUAGGGUUUUGUUAAGUUAUUUUGAAGCUUUUCUGAUUUUUUUAAACAUGUCGUUCUUCUACUGUGUUUCUUAUGUGGAUUCUUCUACUAUGUCUCUUAUGUUGUUCUUCUAUUGUGUUUCUUUAUGUUAAAAGUCUUGGCCCUUUCUUAAGGUUUCUGAUUUUAUUUUCUUCGUUGAUAUUUUUUCCUGAUUCUUUUGUCUUUCAUCUCUAUACUCGAUUGAUGGUGAAAACCCUAAAUUUGGGGGGUUCACUCGAGUUUUGAGGCUAUUCUCUAUGUGAUUUGCUUGUCCUUCAUCUCUGAACUUGUUUGGUUUCGAAACCCUAAUUCCUUUGGACCUAUUUGAGUUUCUGAAGUUGUUUCAUCUGUUGCUCGACUGAAUUUCAAAAUCUUUUGUUUCUUUAUAUGGUUCUGAAUCCCUGCUAAACUCUUCUAAGGUCUUUCUACUGGACCCUUUGCAUGCUAUUUAAUACUUUCUCCCUUCUCCAUUGUUGAGUUACAGAAACUGACCUAUGUGACUACUAUGUUCCUAUAGUCCACUACUUACUGAUUUUGCAAUUGCUUGACACUUUUCUUUUUCCUAAAUUCAGCCUCGCAUGCCUAAUACUUGUGUGCUCUUUAUAUAUGCUGAGCUUCCCCUCUAAAAUGACUUUCAAUUUUUGACUGAUUUCAGACUUCCUUGUGUAAGCCUGAUUGAUGCUUUCCUUGUUUUACUAAUUUCCGUGUCUCUUGGUUUGAUUUGAAAACUUUUCUUAGCCUUUCUGACUUGGUUUAUUCAUGAACCAGUAAUUUCGAAUAUCUGACUCCUUGAUUUACUAUGUACUGAUUGAUUCUUACCUUAUUUGUUUAACCGUGUAUUUCAAAGAUCCUUCCCUUAAUUAAACUCAUAUGUAUUUACCCUUAAUUGUCUACUUUGCACAAUAUGCUUAUUUGAUCUCUUUCCUUAAAUGAUUUCUGUUCAUUACCGUUUAAGUUCGAACUACUUAAUUAAAGGAAGUUCUUCUACUGAAUGAUUUAAAUUGGUACAAGAUUAUUUUCUUGCCUUAUUCUUUGCCUGUUUUCAAACAAUAAAUACCAUGCUCUUUCAUUGACACAAACACACACGAACAUUUUUAGUUUUCUGAACUCACACUCAUAUUCAAAAAGCACUUUCUCUUGUUACUUGUACUGUGGCCUGUUUUCUUUCAAGUGCUGCUACUACUGUGUUUUUCUUCUUUGAAACUAGUAUGUCCUGAUUAAGGUUUUCAGCAACUACAACAAUGUGUUUAUUUAAUACCUUCACUUGCAUGUCGACCUAUUGCUUGUGUUUAGUUCAGAAUUUACUUUAGCAUGUUGUAGUUUCCUUCCUAUUAUGAAUCCCAAAUCCCCUANNNNNNNNNNNNNNNNNNNNNNNNNNNNNNNNNNNNNNNNNNNNNNNNNNNNNNNNNNNNNNNNNNNNNNNNNNNNNNNNNNNNNNNNNNNNNNNNNNNNNNNNNNNNNNNNNNNNNNNNNNNNNNNNNNNNNNNNNNNNNNNNNNNNNNNNNNNNNNNNNNNNNNNNNNNNNNNNNNNNNNNNNNNNNNNNNNNNNNNNNNNNNNNNNNNNNNNNNNNNNNNNNNNNNNNNNNNNNNNNNNNNNNNNNNNNNNNNNNNNNNNNNNNNNNNNNNNNNNNNNNNNNNNNNNNNNNNNNNNNNNNNNNNNNNNNNNNNNNNNNNNNNNNNNNNNNNNNNNNNNNNNNNNNNNNNNNNNNNNNNNNNNNNNNNNNNNNNNNNNNNNNNNNNNNNNNNNNNNNNNNNNNNNNNNNNNNNNUUGUACUUAUCCCCAUUCUGAUAAUAUAAUUUGGGUGUAAGCACUGCCCGGAGUCCCAUUGAGGCUCUUAGGGAACUCUGACACACUCAAAUUGGAGAAAGGCUUUGGGUUAAUGGUCUUUGAGUUGGGUUUAUCUUGUAACUCAGAGAGAAAGUCAGAAUCAGGCUUCCUCUGGUUGUACUUUUAUUUAUAUUUGGAUGUAAUUUUAUUUAUUUUGGUUUGUAAUAAUUUGUAACAAACAUUUGGGCUGGUUAGUGAAAAAGGGUGGGUAACUAUGUAUGCAAAGGGUAGAAAUCAUGACUAUAGGACUACUAUAUUCCUGCAUACUCAACCUCAUAUAGAAACCAUGUCUAUAUGAUUUUGCAUAUUCAAUUACAUCUAAAAAUCAUGUCUAUAGGAUUCUACAUAUUCAAACUUCACUUAGAAAUCAUGUCUAUAGGAUUCUGCAUAUUUAACUUCACUUAGAAAUCAUGUCUAUAUAAUUCUGCAUAUUUAACUUCAUAUAGAAAUCAUGUCUAUAGGAUUCUUCAUAUUUAACUUCAUAUAGAAAUCAUGUCUAUAGGAUUCUGUAUAUUUAACUUCAUAUAGAAAUUAUACCUAUAGAAACGUUCAAUUCAGCAUAAGGUUUAAAAUAAGGUCCGCAUUUAGAUACCACGUCUAUAAGAUUUAAAAUCAGCAACGUAUAGAAAGCAUGCCUAUAGGAUUUUCUAAUAAAAUCUGAUUCGCUUCACUCAGUGUUAGACAUAAAACCGGUAAUAAUGGCUACUAUCAGCCGCAUGACUUUUAAUCAAUUCGUUUAAAUCCUGCCUCUCUUUUAAUAAUUUGAUUCUAUCACUUAGCAAGUUUAACGAGUAUGCAUUCAAACAGUUCAUUUCGAGCCUUAUUGUUUCAUUGCUUUCCGAAUCCAGUAGAUACCAUGCCUAUAGGACCCCUGUUCAAACAUUUAGGCAAGCCUUAGGGUAAUAAAAGCUAAAUCUACUUCUGUUAAUAAUUACAACCAGCAGGCAGGCCUGAUUCGGACAUCUUAUCUGAGUUAUGUGAUAAGCUGAAACUGUCUCAACAAUUUCCUCUUACUCGUCUUUAAUACCUUUUAAAUCAGACCUAAACAAUAUGUGUAAGUCGUGCUAAUUACGUACUUCUUUGUUCAAGGAGGUAUAUCUGAGCCUCUGCUUGUUAUAUGCUUUCCCCAAUUUGCAAUACAUGUUUUGUAUGUCGCCUUAGAGUUUUUUCCUUUAAAACUACAAAUAAGCCUAAUAUCCCCCCCUUUUGGGAUUAUUAGUCCUAAAUACCUCCGGGACUGAUAGGAUUGAGACGGGUAAUAGCAUGCAAUAAGUAAACGAGACCAAUCCGCGCUUUAAUACCUUAACAGGGUGGGAAGGGUAGAUAUGGAUAUGAUGACCACGCAAUAAUGUCACGUGUAGCCUCUCAUCGAGGAGUUAUUACCGGGCAUUGUGUGGGGUGAUCCAUAUUGUUAAUAAACCUAGGACCCCAUUUCCCUUAUUUCUCUAUUUCUUUUAUCAUUCCAACUCUUUUUUUUAAAAAAAAUCAGCUUUUCUUUGCUCUUUCAAACUUUGUUUAUUUGCAAAUCAUUAUAUGAAAUCCCCUCUUAUUUGAGCCUUAUUUGUCUACAUGUUAAUUGCACCAAAUUCACAAUAAUUGUCUGGCCGGAAACUGUCACACCUCCUUUUUACCACCCGAGGGGGUAUAAGGGAGUUUUUUCCAACUUAAAGUGAUAAUCGAAACGAGAUUAUUUAUUUAUUAAAUUCAUAGUAUCCACUUGGGAGAUGUAUGGUGUCCCAAGUCAUCGGUUAAAUCACGAAUCAAGGAAAAGCUUGACUCUGUUUAACAGUUCGCGAACCAGAAAUCCGAGUAAGGAAUUCUGUUAACCCGAGAGAAGGUGUUAGGCAUUCCCAAGUUCCGUGGUUCUAGCACGGUCGCUCAACUGUUAUAUUCGGCUUAAGUAUCUGAUUUUAAACAAUUAUGAACCUAUGUGCAAAUUUUAGUUUUAACCGCUUUUAUUCAUUUUUAAAGAAAAUUGCAACAUUAUUAAAACACGUCUCGAACCACGUCACAUAAAUGCACCCGUGAUUUUUGACAUAUUUUAAUAAACGUUGUUGAGAUUUGGAUUUGGGUCACAUAAAUGCACACCCGAGUUUAAGGAAAUUAAUUUAAAUUACGCGCCUAAAGCAACUACGCAUUCAAAUUAUUCUCCUAAACUAAUUUUGAGAUUAUUGUAAAGGCCAAGAGUUAUGGAAUGGAUUUGUGUAGAAGUGUGAAGUUUAAUUACUAGGAUUAUCUACAAUGAAUUGCUUUUUUUUUAGUUAAAAAUAAUAUUUGCAAUUAUUUAUUAUGAAGGAGAUAUGGGCUAGUAUCCAUCUGGGUGCCGAUGUUUUCAUUGGCCCAAUUAAUUUAACUCAUGUUGUAUAUGUUUAAAUGAAUACAGAAAACUCAACUAUUUUCAAGAUCAAAUACUAGCCCAUUAAUAUGAAAUAAAUUCCUAAAUUCUAAAUAAAAAGUGAAAUGUGGUCAACAAAAAACUUGAAACAUACAAAAAGAUCUAAAGUCCUAAUAAGCAUAGCCAAACAAGAUUCCAUAAACUUUGCAUAACUAAUCAUGAGUGCAUUUGAAAGCUUAAACAUAUAGAAACUAUAAAAUUAGCAACUCAGCAAAUAUCUAGCAAUAACUUAUAGGCAUGCAAGUUAAUAAAAAUUGAAAGGAAAAAAAAAAGAACGAACCUCAAAUCAAUCAACUUUCUUCAAUACUCAAAAGGCGAAUUUGUACAACACAAUAUCGUUUUGAUAGCCAAAGUGAACUUUCAUCAACAUAAUCCGGAAACGAGCAAAAAAAAAAACAGCGAGCAGAACCCCAAACCAGCACUUCAGGGUUAGAAAACACAAAGCAAGGAAAGGUCGCCGGAAAGCAGGGAGUGUGCCGGAAUUUCAGUCGGCCACGGACUUUGAUGGGAACCAGUAAGGUGAAACCGGCCAGAUCUAGAGAGUGAUGAGGCGAGGCAACAAUGGCGAGUUUUUGUCCAAAUCUGGAGCGGAUCCGGUGAGCUCUUUAUGAUGUGUGAGUGAUAGUGAAGGAAUAAGGGAAGGAGAGAAAGCAGGGGAACUCGAUGGCUCACCGGUUAGCUUGUCGGAGGUGGCAGCGGCGGCGAAUGUUUGCUUUUCAAGUUGAGAGAGAUGAUGGGAUUAGGCGUAUUUGCUUUUUUCUUCAAUUGAGAGCAUGAAGAAGAUGAAUCGGAAAGGGGAGCAUGAAGGGUCUGCCAAUUUUUGAGUCUUGGGUCUAGCUUAGGGUGUCAAUUUUUAUUGCUAGUUUUGAGUGCAAGCUUAUGUCCAACAGAUGACCUCAUGAAAUUUCAUGGAGGAGGGAUUAUUUCCCUUUGUAUGUUUUGGAGAGAAAUUGUAGAAGAAGAAAGAAGCUCCCGUGUUUGCGCCGCUUCUAUGUAGGUGAAGGAUCUGAUGGAUUUUUUUUCUAGGUCUCAGAGGUGUAUGUCAAUUUAAGGAUUAGGUACUAUUAUAUAAGGGUAUGGAUUAGGUUAGGGAUAUGAGAUUAGGAAUUAUGGGCUUGGAAAUUAUGGUCUAGGUCCAAAAUUAGGCUUAAAAAUGCGUUGCUCGAGCCCAAGUUUUAUUCUUUCUCCGCGAACGAGACUAAAAUACGAUCUCAUUUAUUAAUUAGUCCCACUUAAAUAAAAUAACUAUUAAAAUAAAACUGAC